This is a long non-coding RNA of Corapipo altera (White-ruffed manakin), 381 nucleotides long. RefSeq lists it as uncharacterized. NCBI's taxonomy places the organism in Eukaryota, Metazoa, Chordata, Aves, Passeriformes, Pipridae. The transcript has 3 exons. The record is from RefSeq and is a predicted model, not a curated record.
GGAAGGAUGCUCCAGCUCCCAGGGAUGUGGAGUCAGGCUGGGUGGAGGGUGCUGCUCCCACCCAGAUGCUUCUCCCACAUCUGCCUGGAAAGAGAAGGGUUUCCUUGAGCCGAGACUAAGAUUUUUGGCUGCACGGACACACAGGAGGAAGGUGAGCUGAUGCCUCAGCCCUGCGUUAGAGCCACAUAAUGGAAUAGGACGGAAGGGGAAAGACUCAUAGCAGAGGAGCAGAGAAAGUGGGAAUCCAGAGCUUUCUAGGAUCUUCUUAAAGGAAUCACCCGCUGAGAACACGACUUUAAAUUCCCGGAGUCCCCUUGGAAGGGAAAUCAGGCAUCAGCGGCUCCCAUGUCCAUCCCCUGGGCUUCAGGAACCUUCCAACCC